This 995-nucleotide long non-coding RNA is filed under the name Musa acuminata (dwarf banana). RNAcentral describes it as "long non-coding RNA (MACU_LNC001672)". Lineage: Eukaryota; Viridiplantae; Streptophyta; Magnoliopsida; Zingiberales; Musaceae. The record is from RNAcentral.
GAUAGAUAGAUAGAUGUAGUGCAAAUGGAUACCCUCUAAAAUUGGUAUUAAAGAUUUCCUAAAUUAAUCUAAUUUUACUUAAAUAAGAGAAGUGAUUACAAAUAUCACAACGCAAGGUAAGAUUUGUGGGUGAGGGCAGGCAGGCAGGAAGGCAGGGCAGGCAGCGUGGGUUUCAGGAACAGGAAUGGGUGGGAGGCCCCACCGCAGCUGAACCCCCAACGCUUUACAGCCAAACCAAGGGUGGCCUGACAUCCUCACCUUUAAUUCUGGUUCGUGUAGCAACAACAUUGGACGGCUGGCAAACUCCACCCCUUCCCCCCUUCCCCUUUCCCCUUCCCGCUGAGGUGCCCUGCAAUUAUGUCGCUCUAACAUGCCCUUGUCUCCUCCAUUUUGGUUGUAGCAUCAGCAGCAGCAGCAGCAGCACCGGCCACUAAAGACUCGCGGCCAGCGGCACCAGGCCACGAUCGCGUUCGCCUCACAGCCAACUCAACUCCCCAAAGGUGUUUGUCGAAAUGCCUCUCCGCCCCCCCAAAACGGCACUCUGCAGCUGUGUCUGGAGCCUCCCUCCCUCCUUCCAAGCCCAUUCCCCUUCGCAGCUUCUUCCCACCAUGCUCUAUUAUGACUAGAGGAAAAGAAUGAAAGAGGAGUGUGUUUAACAUUUCGAUCCAGGUUUCCUACUCGAGAGAGAGAGAGAGAGAGAGGGUCGGGCUACAAUCUGAUGGUCAUGGGGAAGAAUUGAAUCCUCAAACCCCAAUCGCCUCAAAGAUCACGCAUGUUGAACAUGAUUUAGAUGCCCAAAAUAUAUUACGGUUUGCAAGUUCAUCGACUUAAUACAAUAAAAGCAUUCGGGCAUACAACAAACGUCACAAAGCUUGGUUUGGUAUUUCUGUAGAAUUAAUCAACUACACGUUUAUGGAAUGCCAUCAAAGCUUUUCUUCUUUGGACUCCACACGAUGUAUACAUCAGAAUGUAUGAAGCAUAUAUUGUUUUUUUUU